RNAcentral lists this ribosomal RNA (653 nucleotides) under Staphylococcus aureus. RNAcentral's name for it is "partial 23S ribosomal RNA". It matches the Rfam family "Bacterial large subunit ribosomal RNA", at positions 2270 to 2925 of the family's 2925-position model. The record is from RNAcentral. Lineage: Bacteria; Bacillati; Bacillota; Bacilli; Caryophanales; Staphylococcaceae.
UUGACUGGGGCGGUCGCCUCCUAAAAGGUAACGGAGGCGCUCAAAGGUUCCCUCAGAAUGGUUGGAAAUCAUUCAUAGAGUGUAAAGGCAUAAGGGAGCUUGACUGCGAGACCUACAAGUCGAGCAGGGUCGAAAGACGGACUUAGUGAUCCGGUGGUUCCGCAUGGAAGGGCCAUCGCUCAACGGAUAAAAGCUACCCCGGGGAUAACAGGCUUAUCUCCCCCAAGAGUUCACAUCGACGGGGAGGUUUGGCACCUCGAUGUCGGCUCAUCGCAUCCUGGGGCUGUAGUCGGUCCCAAGGGUUGGGCUGUUCGCCCAUUAAAGCGGUACGCGAGCUGGGUUCAGAACGUCGUGAGACAGUUCGGUCCCUAUCCGUCGUGGGCGUAGGAAAUUUGAGAGGAGCUGUCCUUAGUACGAGAGGACCGGGAUGGACAUACCUCUGGUGUACCAGUUGUCGUGCCAACGGCAUAGCUGGGUAGCUAUGUGUGGACGGGAUAAGUGCUGAAAGCAUCUAAGCAUGAAGCCCCCCUCAAGAUGAGAUUUCCCAACUUCGGUUAUAAGAUCCCUCAAAGAUGAUGAGGUUAAUAGGUUCGAGGUGGAAGCAUGGUGACAUGUGGAGCUGACGAAUACUAAUCGAUCGAAGACUUAAUCAA